CAUGCGUACCAUUAGCUGGUUGGUGAGGUAACGGCUUACCAAGGCAACGAUGGUUAGGGGCCCUGAGAGGGGGAUCCCCCACACUGGUACUGAGACACGGACCAGACUCCUACGGGAGGCAGCAGUGAGGAAUAUUGGACAAUGGGCGAGGGCCUGAUCCAGCCAUGCCGCGUGCAGGAUGACUGCCCUAUGGGUUGUAAACUGCUUUUAUACGGGAAGAAACCUGUCCACGUGUGGACAGCUGACGGUACCGUAAGAAUAAGGACCGGCUAACUCCGUGCCAGCAGCCGCGGUAAUACGGAGGGUCCGAGCGUUAUCCGGAAUCAUUGGGUUUAAAGGGUCCGUAGGCGGGCCUAUAAGUCAGGGGUGAAAGGCCACGGCUCAACCGUGGGACUGCCUUUGAUACUGUAGGUCUUGAGUCGUUGUGGGGUUGCCGGAACAUGUGGUGUAGCGGUGAAAUGCAUAGAUAUCACAUAGAACACCGAUCGCGAAGGCAGGUGACCAACAACGUACUGACGCUGAUGGACGAAAGCGUGGGUAGCGAACGGGAUUAGAUACCCCGGUAGUC
This 568-nucleotide ribosomal RNA is filed under the name Flagellimonas nanhaiensis. RNAcentral's name for it is "bacterial SSU rRNA". It matches the Rfam family "Bacterial small subunit ribosomal RNA", at positions 230 to 795 of the family's 1533-position model. The record is from RNAcentral. Lineage: Bacteria; Pseudomonadati; Bacteroidota; Flavobacteriia; Flavobacteriales; Flavobacteriaceae.